This 933-nucleotide long non-coding RNA is filed under the name Homo sapiens (human). RNAcentral's name for it is "long non-coding RNA NONHSAT170710.1". The record is from RNAcentral. Lineage: Eukaryota; Metazoa; Chordata; Mammalia; Primates; Hominidae.
CGAGUAGCCAUGGGCUUACCAUAGAAGGAACAAACUCUUAAUCUUAGAACUGCUUUAGGCAGUGGGCGUGAUGGUUAAAAACUCGGCCUUUGGCGUCGACCUCAGACGGAGAUCUACCAAUUAGGAAAUUAGCUGUGAUUUAGAAAAUUUAAUAUUUCGAUGCCAUACUUUCCUAAUCUGCAAAAUUUUUGUAAAUACCUGUGACCUAGUGUCGUGAGCGCUUAGCAACACCUGACACCCACUAAGCUCUCAGCCAGUGGUUCUGAAAGUGGUUCUAGACCAGCAACAACAGCAGUAGCAGCAGCACCUGUGAACUUGUUAGAAAUGCAAAGUUUCAGGCCCAUUCCAGUUCUACUGAAUCUGAAACUCGAAGGGAACAGCAACCUAUGUUUUAAUAAACCCCAAGGACUAUGGCUCCUUAACUCAGAAGGGCCCUUUUUUCUCAAAACAACCUCUGCAAGAUGUAACCUUGACUUCCCAGGUAUAUACCCAGUGACAUGAAUCCUGGAUCAUAAGGAGUUCUACUAAGGGUUGGAAGAUGGGACAAAGAACAAAGACAAAUGGAAAAGUCAUCAGAAACAAUGUGUUACUACAUUUUUGUUGCUGGGGAAAAGAACUGACUUGAUGUACUUCCUCAGAAGAGAGACCGAACACCAGGAAAGAAAAUACAGAUUUCCCCAGACUCUACCUGCUAUCACCAUUUUGUUGUAAUACACCUUAACUGAGAGUAAACAGAAGAGUCCAAGAACCUCUGGUUGUUUGCAGAUGGUCGCCAGAGAACCAUGAUGACAAAGAGGAUCAUGGAGAACAGCAAGCGCCAGAUGGCAUCGUCUACCCACAGCUCCCGCCAGUCCUACAAUACAGGGGAGAAGUACAACAUUUAUACACAUUAUCUUAACCCCUUGUUCAUAAAGAUCAAUGGAAACCCAUCUC